Molecule: ribosomal RNA, 253 nt
Filed under: uncultured bacterium
Lineage: Bacteria
Description: partial 16S ribosomal RNA
Rfam family: Bacterial small subunit ribosomal RNA
Source: RNAcentral
UACGGGGGGUGCGAGCGUUGUCCGGAAUCACUGGGCGUAAAGGGCGCGUAGGUGGUUUGAUAAGGGUGUGGUGAAAGUCCGGGGCUCAACCCCGGAUCUGCCGUGCCGACUGUCAAACUCGAGGACUGUAGAGGCAGACGGAAUUCCGGGUGUAGCGGUGGAAUGCGUAGAGAUCGGGAGGAACACCAGUGGCGAAGGCGGCUACCUGGACCAGCACUGACACUGAGGCACGAAAGCGUGGGGAGCAAACAGG